This is a long non-coding RNA of Homo sapiens (human), 687 nucleotides long. RefSeq lists it as uncharacterized. The transcript is spliced from 2 exons. The record is from RefSeq and is a predicted model, not a curated record. Lineage: Eukaryota; Metazoa; Chordata; Mammalia; Primates; Hominidae.
AGCAGCAGAUACUGGCACCAGAUUUCCUGUAGAGCCUGCAUAACCAUGAGCCAAUUAAACCUCUUUUCUUUAUGGAUUACCCAAGCUCAGGUUCUACCCUGGAGAGUGUUCCAUAUGCACUUGAGAUUAUUAUGUAUUCUGCUGUGUUGGAUGGACUGUUCUAUAGUUGUCUAUUAAGUCUAGUUGUUUUGUAAUGUAAUUUAAGUCGUUUAUAUCUAUGUUUAUUUACCAUUUCUAUAUGUUUUUAUGUAGUUACUAUAUUUGAUGUUUUUGUUUUCUUUAUUCAGAGUCACAUCUUUAGUAUGAUUUUCUAUCUGAGAAGUGUUCUUUAUUAUUUUCUAUAGUGUGUGUCUGCAGGUCAUGAAUAGUGCAAGUAUAUUUAUGGUUAAAACCAUUUUAUUUUGCCUUCCCUUCUGAAAGAUAUUUUCACUGAGUAAAGAAUUCAGAAUUGACAGUUUUUUUUAAUUUAAAGAACAUGUUUUACUGAUACAUUAUAAUUGUAUAUGUUUAUGGGGUAUACGUGCUAUUUUGAUGCAUGAAUACAGUAUGUAAGGAUCGAAUUAGUGUUUAGGAUAUCCAUCACCUUGAGCAUUUGUCAUUUCUAUAUGUUGGGAAUAUUUCAAAUCUUCUAUGUAUUUUGAAAUGUACAAUAAAUUAUGUUAACUAUGUUCACUCUGCUGUGUGAUA